CUGGUCUCGAACUCCUGACCUCAGGUGAUCCACCUGCCUCGGCCUCCCAAAGUGCUAGGAUCACAGGCGUGAGCCACCAUGCCUGGCUUCAUGUGUUAUUUUUAAAAAUCACGAUUUGCUUAUAACUUCACAAUACUUAAUAAUAUUUAUUUAAAAAUUAAGAUUAUGUGGUUAAUAUGCACACACAAUUCACCCUUUAAAAGUGUAUAGUUGGAUGAGUUUGAACAAAUAGAGAGUUACAUAGCCACCACCACUACUGACAUGCGGAACAUUUCAGCCACCCUGAAAGGUUCCGGGGGCCCUUCUGUAGUCAGUCCCUCCCUCCCACCCCCAAGCAACUGCUAAUCUGUUUUCUGUCCCUACAGUUUUGACUUUUAUAGAAUGCUGUAUAAGUGGAAUCCUACAUUCUGUAGCAUUUUGAGUCUGACUUCUGAGAGUCACCAUGCUGUUGUAUGUAUUAGUAGUUUGUUCCUCGCUAUUUCUGAGUAGUAUUCCUUUGUAUGGAUGCACAAUAAUAUGUUUAUCAUUCACCAGUUAAUGCCAUUGGUGUUGUUUCUAGCAUUCAAAUGGUUGUACCAUUUGACACUGCCACUAGCAACGUAUGAAAGGCUACUAUGAAGAAGGCUGCUAUGAAAAACAAGUUGAACACCUUAAAUAUAUCUAGUCGUGUGUUGCUUAACAAUGGGGAUAUGUUCUGAGAAAUGCAUAAUUAGGCAAUUUUGUCAUUGUGCCAAUAUCAUGGAGUAUACUUACAUAUACUUGGAUGCCACAGCCUACUGCACACCUAGCUAUGUGGUAAUCCCUACUGCUUCCAGGCUACCAACUUGGACAGCAUGUUACUAUACUUAAUACUCUAGGCAGUUAUAACAAAUGGCAUUUGUGUAUCUAAAUAUAUCAAACAUAGAAAAGGUAGGCCGGGUGUGGUGGCUCAUGCCUGUAAUCCCAACACUUUGGGAGGCAGAGGUGGGCAAAUCACCUGAGGUCAGCAGUUCGAGACCAGCCUGGCCAACGUAGUGAAACCCCAUCUCUACUAAAAAUACAAAAAUUAGCCUGGUGUGGUGGUGUGCACCUGGAGUCCCAGCUACUCGGGAGGCUGAGGCACAAGAAUUGCUUGAACCCGGGAGGAGGAGGCUGCAGUGAGCCGAGAUCAUGCCACUGUACUCCAGCCUGGAUGACAGAGUGAAAAAAAAAAAAGAAAAGGUAUAGUAAGAUAUGGUGUUAUAAUCUUAGGAGACCAGCGUUUUACAUGCAGUCUGCCAUUGACUAAAAUGUUGUUAUGCAGCACCUGACUGUACAAUUCUUAUUUGUCAAGUAUACCUCAAUGAAACUGAAAAAAAAUUUAAAAAUAAAAAUGUUCAGAUAAUGUUAACAAAAAGGCAGUUAGGAACACUUGUGUACAGGUCACUGGGUGAAUCUCUUUUAAAUUAUCAUAGGUAAAUACCUAAGUGGUAUGGCUGGUCUGUGUGGUAAAUGUAUAUUUAGCUCAGAAGCUGCUAGACUGUUUUCUAGAGUGGUUGUACCAUUUGACAUUCCCACCAGCAAUGUAUGAAAGUUCCAAUUGCUCCACAUCCUCACUAAACCUAGCUAUUAAGUCUUUUUCAUUUUAACCAUGCUAGUAUGUAUGUAGUGGGGUCUCACUGUGGUUUUAAUUUACAUGUCCCUAACCAUUAAUGGUAUUAAGUCUCUUACCAUGUACUUAUUAGACAUACGUAUAUUUUCUUUGGUGAAGCAACUGUUAAGAUAUUUUCUCCACUAUUUUUUUAAGUUAGGCUGUUUACCUUCCUAUUAUAUAGUUGUAAGAUACACAUUCAGAUUGCAAGUCUUUUAUUAGAGCGUCAGGCAAAUCUUUUCUCCUGGUCUAUGGCUUAUCUUUUCAUUUUCUCAGUGGUUUCUCUCAUAUGGUUUUAAUAGCCCUUUAUAUUUCAUUUUGUCUGACCUAUUCAUUCCUCACCAUUGCCCAUUUUUAUUUUAGCUUGUGGAUCUAUCGCUUUAUAGACAAACUUUAAAAAGUAUCGUGGAGAGAUCAGCUUUUGUUACAUGAGUUGAAAAAUUGUUUCCUCAAUCUGUCAUUUGUCUUGAUUUUGCCCCAGUGGUUUUUUUGGUUGGCUUUAACUACUGGAAUUAAUUCAAUAUUGGUUAUUUAGUAUAUAGUCAUUUUUAGUUUUUUUUUUUUUUACAUUUAAGACAUAUUUUUGUGUUUCUUAAUGAAUAAAUUAUGAAAGAAUGUUAAUUUAAAAUUCAUAAUAUGUAAAAGAAUAUUUAGAUUUCAUUUCCUAUAAUCAGACACGCUGUUGUUUUUACUAUAUAACUGUUAGAAGAUAUAAAUCUAUAACAUAUGCAGCAUAUACAUAAAAAUAAUCACAAUAUUUUUAAAAGUUUCUGUUAAUGUCAUGUAUCUUCUUUUUUUAUCCAAAAGAAAACUUAUUCAAAAAAAUGUACCCAGAAGACACAGCCUAAGGAAUACAAGCAGGAAACUGAGAAACCUGCCAACAACAGCUAAAGGGACACAAACAGGAAAAUCACAGUGCCUUCUGGGUAUAUCAGAACCUACCUGAAAUUCACAAACUCUAAACAAUGAAUGCUCAACUCUGUUGUAUGAAGUAGCCACAAUUACCAACCUUCCUGCACAAAUCAAACAAGAGAUAUCUUAAAAUAGGAAUGAUGCUGAAACUCUACAGCUUUUGUGUGAAACACAUAGAAGAAGAAAGUAAAACAGGACAAACUCCGUGGGCAGGUAACAUUACCUCAGUGUUUAUGGCAUUUUUCUUUUUGGGCCGGUUGAACAUGAUCUUUGUGAUGCCAUCUUCGGAGGUCACCACCAGAGUUUCAAACCCAGUUGAUUUCCUGUCUGUUCCAGGCUCCACCUGACUAGAGGAUUCCAAUGAAGGACUCAAACUGGACACCAAAUCCACAUAGUUCUGCCUGGCAGCUUCCUGAACGGACGAUGACAAACAACCUCAGCCCAUGGUCAAUGAAUAAGCACUUUGAGAAAGUUACUAUACUAAUAACUAACACCUUGCAAUGAAGAAAGAAUAGAAGCACAUCAAGAUCUUGAAGACUCCAUUUACAAUGGCUUAAUGAGAAGCACAAACUUCUUUAGAAGUACAGCAAAUAAAAGCACAGUAACUAGUAAACUCACCUUGGGCAGGCUGCCAAGGGCAUUCCAUGCGUCCCAUUUGGCCUUGUUGAUCAAGUCAAAUACACCUGGUUUGGGCAUGUUACAAGGUCCUUCAGUGGCCUGUGAAAAGGAGAGGGGCAAUAUGUUCAAAUGUCCAUGUAAACUAGACCCCUAAAUAUUUAAGAUCCAUAAAAUCUGUAAGUACAUGAAUGCCUCCCCCAAAUCCUUUCACAGGGUAUGUAAAUUGAUCUGAAUUUUCCCCUCCAGUCUCUUUGAUGUUGUUGCCAAAAAUGCACAAACAGAAAAAAGACUGGAAAUAAAUUAUAACUGCCUGUCUAUGAAAAUAAUGCAGGAUAAAGGUUUUGGGGAAGUAUUUUCUAAAAAAAUCUAAUGGUUCAUUAGUUUUAUAUUGGUAAUCACAUUUUCCACAAACAAUCAAAAUAUUCAAGCAAACAAUCUUUACAAGGAACUAGUCAACAAAUACUUGAAAACCCACAGCAUAUUCCAAAAGCCCAUCUGAAGGUACAAAAAAAAACACCACUAAUUCAGUGGUGGACUUUUGGUACCUGGGUAACAAAACUGUAGCUGAGGGGCUAGGGUGGGGCUAUCAGAGCUACUGGUUCUUAGGAAACCUAACUGAAGAACAUGUAAGUAAAAAGCAAAAAGGAAUUAAAUUUUAUUUUUGAGGCUAGGUGGAGUGGGUGUUUUGAGAUGAAUAAAA
This 3839-nucleotide long non-coding RNA is filed under the name Homo sapiens (human). RNAcentral's name for it is "HSALNT0331917". Lineage: Eukaryota; Metazoa; Chordata; Mammalia; Primates; Hominidae. The record is from RNAcentral.